UCAUCUGUUGCCAGCAUUUAAGGUGGGGACGUCAGAUGAGACUGCCGGUGACAAACCGGAGGAAGGUGGGGACGACGUCAAGUCAUCAUGGCCCUUAUGUCCUGGGCUACACACGUGCUACAAUGGCCGGUACAGAGUGAAGCGAAACCGCGAGGUGAAGCAAAACGCAGAAAGCCGGUCUCAGUACGGAUUGGAGUCUGAAACUCGACUUCAUGAAGUUGGAAUCGCUAGUAAUCGCGCAUCAGCAUGGCGCGGUGAAUACGUUCCCGGGCCUU
RNAcentral lists this ribosomal RNA (275 nucleotides) under uncultured Spirochaeta sp. Its description in RNAcentral is "partial 16S ribosomal RNA". It matches the Rfam family "Bacterial small subunit ribosomal RNA", at positions 1108 to 1382 of the family's 1533-position model. The record is from RNAcentral. Lineage: Bacteria; Pseudomonadati; Spirochaetota; Spirochaetia; Spirochaetales; Spirochaetaceae.